CGAGAGUGGGGGAUAACGAAGCGAAAGCUUUGCUAAUACCGCAUACGAUCUCAGGAUGAAAGCAGGGGACCGCAAGGCCUUGCGCUCACGGAGCGGCCGAUGGCAGAUUAGGUAGUUGGUGGGAUAAAAGCUUACCAAGCCGACGAUCUGUAGCUGGUCUGAGAGGACGACCAGCCACACUGGGACUGAGACACGGCCCAGACUCCUACGGGAGGCAGCAGUGGGGAAUUUUGGACAAUGGGCGCAAGCCUGAUCCAGCCAUGCCGCGUGCAGGAUGAAGGCCUUCGGGUUGUAAACUGCUUUUGUACGGAACGAAAAGACUCUGGUUAAUACCUGGGGUCCAUGACGGUACCGUAAGAAUAAGCACCGGCUAACUACGUGCCAGCAGCCGCGGUAAUACGUAGGGUGCGAGCGUUAAUCGGAAUUACUGGGCGUAAAGCGUGCGCAGGCGGUUAUGUAAGACAGAUGUGAAAUCCCCGGGCUCAACCUGGGAACUGCAUUUGUGACUGCAUAGCUAGAGUACGGCAGAGGGGGAUGGAAUUCCGCGUGUAGCAGUGAAAUGC
Molecule: ribosomal RNA, 563 nt
Filed under: uncultured beta proteobacterium
Lineage: Bacteria; Pseudomonadati; Pseudomonadota; Betaproteobacteria
Description: bacterial SSU rRNA
Rfam family: Bacterial small subunit ribosomal RNA
Source: RNAcentral